RNAcentral lists this ribosomal RNA (488 nucleotides) under uncultured bacterium. RNAcentral's name for it is "partial 16S ribosomal RNA". It matches the Rfam family "Bacterial small subunit ribosomal RNA", at positions 30 to 523 of the family's 1533-position model. The record is from RNAcentral.
AUUGAACGCUGGCGGCAGGCCUAACACAUGCAAGUCGAGCGGGGUUUUCGGACCUAGCGGCGGACGGGUGAGUAAUGCGUAGGAAGCUACCCGAUAGAGGGGGAUACCAGUUGGAAACGACUGUUAAUACCGCGUAAUGUCUACGGACCAAAGUGUGGGACCUUCGGGCCACAUGCUAUCGGAUGCGCCUACGUGGGAUUAGCUAGUUGGUGAGGUAAUGGCUCACCAAGGCGACGAUCUCUAGCUGGUCUGAGAGGAUGAUCAGCCACACUGGAACUGAGACACGGUCCAGACGCCUACGGGAGGCAGCAGUGGGGAAUAUUGGACAAUGGGCGCAAGCCUGAUCCAGCCAUGCCGCGUGUGUGAAGAAGGCCUUCGGGUUGUAAAGCACUUUCAGCGAGGAGGAAGGGUUGUGUGUUAAUAGUACACAGCCUUGACGUUACUCGCAGAAGAAGCACCGGCUAACUCUGUGCCAGCCGCCGCGGUAA